RNAcentral lists this unclassified non-coding RNA (214 nucleotides) under Glomeraceae sp. RNAcentral describes it as "partial contains 5.8S ribosomal RNA and internal transcribed spacer 2". The stretch from base 1 to 71 matches the Rfam family "5.8S ribosomal RNA", at positions 84 to 154 of the family's 154-position model. The record is from RNAcentral. Lineage: Eukaryota; Fungi; Glomeromycota; Glomeromycetes; Glomerales; Glomeraceae.
GUGAAUCAUCAAAUUUUUGAACGCAAAUUGCACUCUCUGGUAUUCCGGAGAGUAUGCCUGUUUGAGGGUCAGUUACAAUAAAAAUCGGUGUGGUUGCUGACUUUCGUGGUGACGCACCGGAUUUGGGUCGUCUUGCCUUCGGUUAAGCGACCUAAAGUUUUGCAUGAUUUUUUUCGCACGUAUUAAAAUGCGUUUCUGUACGUUUGAGAUAACG